GAUGAACGCUGGCGGCGUGCCUAAUACAUGCAAGUCGAGCGAACGGACGAGAAGCUUGCUUUUCUGAUGUUAGCGGCGGACGGGUGAGUAACACGUGGAUAACCUACCUAUAAGACUGGGAUAACUUCGGGAAACCGGAGCUAAUACCGGAUAAUAUUUUGAACCGCAUGGUUCAAAAGUGAAAGACGGUCUUGCUGUCACUUAUAGAUGGAUCCGCGCUGCAUUAGCUAGUUGGUAAGGUAACGGCUUACCAAGGCAACGAUGCAUAGCCGACCUGAGAGGGGGAUAGGCCACACUGGAACGGAGAAACGGUCCAGACUCCUACGGGAGGCAGCAGUAGGGAAUCUUCCGCAAUGGGCGAAAGCCUGACGGAGCAACGCCGCGUGAGUGAUGAAGGUCUUCGGAUCGUAAAACUCUGUUAUUAGGGAAGAACAUAUGUGUAAGUAACUGUGCACAUCUUGACGGUACCUAAUCAGAAAGCCACGGCUAACUACGUG
Molecule: ribosomal RNA, 497 nt
Filed under: uncultured bacterium
Lineage: Bacteria
Description: partial 16S ribosomal RNA
Rfam family: Bacterial small subunit ribosomal RNA
Source: RNAcentral